RNAcentral lists this ribosomal RNA (497 nucleotides) under uncultured bacterium. RNAcentral's name for it is "partial 16S ribosomal RNA". It matches the Rfam family "Bacterial small subunit ribosomal RNA", at positions 28 to 507 of the family's 1533-position model. The record is from RNAcentral.
GAUGAACGCUGGCGGCGUGCCUAAUACAUGCGAGUCGAGCGAACAGACGAGGAGCUUGCUUCUCUGACGUUAGCGGCGGACGGGUGAGUAACACGUGGAUAACCUACCUAUAAGACUGGGAUAACUUCGGGAAACCGGAGCUAAUACCGGAUAAUAUUUUGAACCGCAUGGUUCAAUAGUGAAAGACGGUUUUGCUGUCACUUAUAGAUGGAUCCGCGCCGCAUUAGCUAGUUGGUAAGGUAACGGCUUACCAAGGCAACGAUGCGUAGCCGACCUGAGAGGGUGAUCGGCCACACUGGAACUGAGACACGGUCCAGACUCCUACGGGAGGCAGCAGUAGGGAAUCUUCCGCAAUGGGCGAAAGCCUGACGGAGCAACGCCGCGUGAGUGAUGAAGGUCUUCGGAUCGUAAAACUCUGUUAUUAGGGAAGAACAAAUGUGUAAGUAACUAUGCACGUCUUGACGGUACCUAAUCAGAAAGCCACGGCUAACUACGUG